This 468-nucleotide ribosomal RNA is filed under the name uncultured bacterium. RNAcentral's name for it is "partial 16S ribosomal RNA". It matches the Rfam family "Bacterial small subunit ribosomal RNA", at positions 28 to 507 of the family's 1533-position model. The record is from RNAcentral.
GACGAACGCUGGCGGCGUGCUUAACACAUGCCAGUCGAACGGAAAGGCCCGGCUUUUGUGGGGUGCUCGAGUGGCGAACGGGUGAGUAACACGUGAGUAACCUGCCCUUGACUUUGGGAUAACUUCAGGAAACUGGGGCUAAUACCGGAUAGGAGCUCCUGCUGCAUGGUGGGGGUUGGAAAGUGUCGGCGGUUGGGGAUGGACUCGCGGCUUAUCAGCUUGUUAGUGUGGUAGUGGCUUACCAAGGCUUUGACGGGUAGCCGGCCUGAGAGGGUGACCGGCCACAUUGGGACUGAGAUACGGCCCAGAAUCCUACGGGAGGCAGCAGUGGGGAAUAUUGCACAAUGGGCGGAAGCCUGAGGCAGCAACGCCGCGUGCGGGAUGACGGCCUUCGGGUUGUAAACCGCUUUCGCCUGUGACGAAGCGUGAGUGACGGUAAUGGGUAAAGAAGCACCGGCUAACUACGUG